RNAcentral lists this long non-coding RNA (299 nucleotides) under Malus domestica (apple). RNAcentral's name for it is "long non-coding RNA (MDOM_LNC007020)". The record is from RNAcentral. Lineage: Eukaryota; Viridiplantae; Streptophyta; Magnoliopsida; Rosales; Rosaceae.
AUUUCAAGUCGUAAUUCUAGCCUAUCUAAAGGUGAUGGAGGAACAUAUAAGCAUGUCAGCUCUUUGGAAUGCUCUUCUGAUGAAUCUUUGCAGGGUAAGCAGAGUAUGCAGAAAUUUUUUGUUUGUUUUGAAAUUUAUUUUUUUCAAUGUUUUUAGGUUUAAUUUGUAUCUGUCUUUGCAGGGUAAGCAGAGUAUGCAGAAAUUUUUUUGUUUGUUUUGAAAUUUAUUUUUUUCAAUGUUUUUAGGUUUAAUUUGUAUCUGUUUUGGAAUGAUGUUUAACUUUAUUGAACAUAUUAGGA